Molecule: ribosomal RNA, 496 nt
Filed under: uncultured bacterium
Lineage: Bacteria
Description: partial 16S ribosomal RNA
Rfam family: Bacterial small subunit ribosomal RNA
Source: RNAcentral
AUUGAACGCUGGCGGAAUGCUUUACACAUGCAAGUCGAACGGUAGAGGGGGCAACCCCUCGAGAGUGGCGAACGGGUGAGUAAUAUAUCGGAACGUGCCCAGUCGUGGGGGAUAACGUAGCGAAAGUUACGCUAAUACCGCAUACGAUCUAAGGAUGAAAGCGGGGGAUCGCAAGACCUCGCGCGAUUGGAGCGGCCGAUAUCAGAUUAGGUAGUUGGUGGGGUAAAGGCUCACCAAGCCAACGAUCUGUAGCUGGUCUGAGAGGACGACCAGCCACACUGGAACUGAGACACGGUCCAGACUCCUACGGGAGGAAGAAGUGGGGAAUUUUGGACAAUGGACGCAAGUCUGAUCCAGCCAUUCCGCGUGCAGGAUGAAGGCCCUCGGGUUGUAAACUGCUUUUGUACGGAACGAAAAGGUCUCUCUUAAUACGGGGGACUCAUGACGGUACCGUAAGAAUAAGCACCGGCUAACUACGUGCCAGCAGCCGCCGUAA